GUGCAGCCGCCGCGGUAAUACGAAGGUCCCAAGCGUUGUUCGGAAUCACUGGGCGUAAAGGGAGAGUAGGCGGUUUGGAAAGUCAGGUGUGAAAUCCCAGAGCUCAACUCUGGAACUGCACCCGAUACUCCCAAACUAGAGUAACGGAGAGGUAGUAGGAAUUUUCGGUGUAGCAGUGAAAUGCGUGGAUAUCGAAAGGAAGACCAAUGGCGAAAGCAUGCUACUGGACGUUUACUGACGCUGAGUCUCGAAGGCCAGGGGAGCGAAAGGGAUUAGAUA
Molecule: ribosomal RNA, 279 nt
Filed under: uncultured bacterium
Lineage: Bacteria
Description: partial 16S ribosomal RNA
Rfam family: Bacterial small subunit ribosomal RNA
Source: RNAcentral